GAGUUUGAUCCUGGCUCAGAACGAACGCUGGCGGCGUGGAUAAGACAUGCAAGUCGAACGGGAGAAUUGCUAGCUUGCUAAUAAUUCUCUAGUGGCGCACGGGUGAGUAACACGUGAGUAACCUGCCCCCGAGAGCGGGAUAGCCCUGGGAAACUGGGAUUAAUACCGCAUAGUAUCGAAAGAUUAAAGCAGCAAUGCGCUUGGGGAUGGGCUCGCGGCCUAUUAGUUAGUUGGUGAGGUAACGGCUCACCAAGGCGAUGACGGGUAGCCGGUCUGAGAGGAUGUCCGGCCACACUGGAACUGAGACACGGUCCAGACACCUACGGGUGGCAGCAGUCGAGAAUCAUUCACAAUGGGGGAAACCCUGAUGGUGCGACGCCGCGUGGGGAAUGAAGGUCUUCGGAUUGUAAACCCCUGUCAUGUGGGAGCAAAUUAAAAAGAUAGUACCACAAGAGGAGGAGACGGCUAACUCUGUG
RNAcentral lists this ribosomal RNA (476 nucleotides) under uncultured Akkermansia sp. Its description in RNAcentral is "bacterial SSU rRNA". It matches the Rfam family "Bacterial small subunit ribosomal RNA", at positions 9 to 507 of the family's 1533-position model. Lineage: Bacteria; Pseudomonadati; Verrucomicrobiota; Verrucomicrobiia; Verrucomicrobiales; Akkermansiaceae. The record is from RNAcentral.